RNAcentral lists this ribosomal RNA (434 nucleotides) under uncultured bacterium. RNAcentral describes it as "bacterial SSU rRNA". It matches the Rfam family "Bacterial small subunit ribosomal RNA", at positions 957 to 1391 of the family's 1533-position model. The record is from RNAcentral.
GAACGCGAAGAACCUUACCAAGACUUGACAUCCUCUUGCCGGGAUAUGUAAUGUAUCCGUUUCUUCGGAACAAGAGAGACAGGUGGUGCAUGGCUGUCGUCAGCUCGUGUCGUGAGAUGUUGGGUUAAGUCCCGCAACGAGCGCAACCCUUGUUGUUAGUUGCCAUCAUUAAGUUGGGCACUCUAACAAGACUGCCGGUGACAAACCGGAGGAAGGUGGGGAUGACGUCAAAUCAUCAUGCCCCUUAUGUCUUGGGCUACACACGUGCUACAAUGGUCGGUACAGAGGGCAGCGAGAGAGUGAUCUUGAGCGAAUCUCAAAAAGCCGAUCCCAGUUCGGAUUGUAGGCUGCAACUCGCCUACAUGAAGUCGGAAUCGCUAGUAAUCGCAGGUCAGCAUACUGCGGUGAAUACGUUCCCGGGUCUUGUACACACC